RNAcentral lists this ribosomal RNA (253 nucleotides) under uncultured bacterium. Its description in RNAcentral is "partial 16S ribosomal RNA". It matches the Rfam family "Bacterial small subunit ribosomal RNA", at positions 524 to 776 of the family's 1533-position model. The record is from RNAcentral.
UACGGAGGGAGCUAGCGUUGUUCGGAAUUACUGGGCGUAAAGCGCGCGUAGGCGGCUUUGUAAGUUAGAGGUGAAAGCCUGGAGCUCAACUUCAGAAUUGCCUUUAAGACUGCAUCGCUUGAAUCCGGGAGAGGUGAGUGGAAUUCCGAGUGUAGAGGUGAAAUGCGUAGAGAUCCGGAGGAACACCAGUGGCGAAGGCGACACGCUGGGCCGUACCUGACACUGAUGCGCGACAGCAUGGGGAGCAAACAGG